AUGCUCACUUCAGCAGUACAUAUACUAAAAUUGGAAUGAUUCAGAGAAGAUUAGCAUGAUCCCUGCGCAAGAACAACAUGCACAUUUGUGAAGCCUUCCAUAUUUUU
Molecule: non-coding RNA, 107 nt
Organism: Myodes glareolus (Bank vole)
Lineage: Eukaryota; Metazoa; Chordata; Mammalia; Rodentia; Cricetidae
Source: RefSeq, a predicted model, not a curated record